CCUAAUCCAAACCCUAUUUCCCUUCAUCUUUUUCCUUCCGCCUCUUCAUCCUCUGGCUUUUUUUUUUUUUUGAGCAACUGAUGUGCUUGGACGGAAGUCUGGUCACCCCAGGUCUUCUCCACCCUCCGAAACCCCUUAACCCAACCUCUUUCCCUUUUCCUCCCACUCGAUCCGACCUCUCUCUCUCUCUCUCUCUCUCUCUCUCUCUCUCUCUCUCUCUCUUUAUUCACUGUCUCACACGGACGGCUAGGCCACGAUGGCCAUCCUCCAGUCCACGGUAGUCGAAACGAACCACACCACGGUGCUCGCAACCACGGCAAAACCCAAAUCCCAAAGAUUUUUUAUUUUUCUCUCUCGCCGGAGCCAUUUCUGGGUUUUUCUCUCGCCGGAGCCAACCUCACUCCUAUAUCUCUCCCGCCCGCCAUGGCCACUCCCUCGCUGGCAUGGGCGUCUUCUCUGGGUUCACUCGGCUAUGCAAGGGUGUUACCGUCGAAAAUUAUACUCACUAGGCUAUGCAAGGGUAUAAGUUUGAGUGUAAUUAUUUUUGAGAGGCAUGGUGCUACAGCUUUGAAUCUUGAGACUCAUAGAUUUUGUGAAUAUAAGUUUGAAUAAAAUUGUUUGGGUAUAAAUUUAUUUACUAUUUAAUGUAAUUGUUUCUGAUAUGAAAAAUUUGUAGAUCUUGAAAAAAUGUUGUAUAAAGGAUAAUUGAAUUUAUGUUUUAUAAAUUUUAUUUUAUUAA
Molecule: long non-coding RNA, 739 nt
Organism: Cannabis sativa
Lineage: Eukaryota; Viridiplantae; Streptophyta; Magnoliopsida; Rosales; Cannabaceae
Exons: 2
Source: RefSeq, a predicted model, not a curated record